This 1375-nucleotide ribosomal RNA is filed under the name metagenome. Its description in RNAcentral is "bacterial LSU rRNA". It matches the Rfam family "Archaeal large subunit ribosomal RNA", at positions 1575 to 2987 of the family's 2987-position model. The record is from RNAcentral.
CUUCGGGAUAUGCCAAGCGGAGUUGUCGCUCCGUCUAAGCACCGAAAUCCGUGGAGUACCGUAAUGGUGAGAAGCGGAUGAAUGUGUGAUGGGGAAACAUGGCAAAUUCCUGGAGCCCGUGAAAAGGGAGUCAAAUGUUCGUACCGAGAACCGACACAGGUGCCCCUCGCUGAAGAGGCGUAGGCGUGUCGGACUAAUUGUGUUAAGGGAACUCGGCAAAUUGGCCCCGUAUCUUCGGUAGAAGGGGUGCCUGCCUGGAGAUCAGGCAGGCCGCAGUGACCAGGGAGCUCCAACUGUCUAAUAACAACACAGGAGACUGCAACUCCGUAAGGACUAGUAUAGUCUCUGAUUCCUGCCCAGAGCAAGUAUCUGAACACCCGGUUCAACGGGACGAAGGACUUGUAAACGGCGGGGGUAACUAUGACCCUCUUAAGGUAGCGUAGUACCUUGUCGCUUAAUUGGCGACUUGCAUGAAUGGAUUAAUGAGAGCUCUACUGUCCCUAACACAAGUCCGUUGAACUUUUUGUCCUAGUGCAGAGACUAGGGACUCCUAAUGGGAAGUGAAGACCCCGUGGAGCCUUACUGCAGUCUGUCGUUGGGUUACGGUAUUACUUGCGCAGUGUAGAUGGGAGAUGUCGAUCCAGUCCUUCCGGGGACUGGGGAGUCAACAAUGAGACACCAUCCUUGUUAUACUGUAACUCUAACCCGUUGAGGGGACAUCGAUAGAUAGGCAGUUUGGGUGGGGCGCCACACCCUCGAAAAAAUAUCAAGGGUGCCCUAUGGUCAACUCAUGUGAGUCAGAAACUCACAGAAGAGUGUCAAGAGCAAAAGUUGGCCUGACGCGAUCACGCACAGCAAGUGAUCGCGAGAGGAAACUCGGGUCUAACGAACCAAUACGCCCUUUUGAUGAGGGCUAUUGACGACAGAAAAGCUACCCCGGGGAUAACAGAGUCGUCGCCGGCAAGAGCACAUAUCGACCCGGCGGCUUGCUACCUCGAUGUCGGUUCUUUCCAUCCUGGCUGUGCAGCAGCAGCCAAGGGUGAGGUUGUUCGCCUAUUAAAGGGGAUCGUGAGCUGGGUUUAGACCGUCGUGAGACAGGUCGGUUACUAUCUAUUAGGAGUGUCCGGGGUCUGAAGGUAAGAUCGAAAUAGUACGAGAGGAACUUUCGGUCGUCGCCUCUGGUUGAUCGGUUGUCUGACAAGGCAGUGCCGAGCGGCUACGCGAUAAGGGAUAAAAGCUGAAAGCAUCUAAGCUUGAAACCCGACCUAAAACGAGACUCCGUUGAGAGCACGGAUAGAAGAUCCGUUUGAUAGACUUGGGAUGUAAGCACGAAGGCAACGACGUGUUCAGUCCGCAAGCACUAACGCUCAAAUUC